RNAcentral lists this ribosomal RNA (561 nucleotides) under uncultured Actinomycetes bacterium. Its description in RNAcentral is "bacterial SSU rRNA". It matches the Rfam family "Bacterial small subunit ribosomal RNA", at positions 89 to 665 of the family's 1533-position model. The record is from RNAcentral. Lineage: Bacteria; Bacillati; Actinomycetota; Actinomycetes.
ACUCGAGUGGCGAACGGGUGAGUAACACGUGGGUGAUCUGCCCUGUACUUUGGGAUAAGCCUGGGAAACUGGGUCUAAUACCGAAUAUGACCACUUCUUGGAUGAGGUGGUGGAAAGCUUUUGCGGUAUGGGAUGAGCUCGCGGCCUAUCAGCUUGUUGGUGGGGCAAUGGCCUACCAAGGCGUCGACGGGUAGCCGGCCUGAGAGGGUGUACGGCCACAUUGGGACUGAGAUACGGCCCAGACUCCUACGGGAGGCAGCAGUGGGGAAUAUUGCACAAUGGGCGCAAGCCUGAUGCAGCGACGCCGCGUGGGGGAUGACGGCCUUCGGGUUGUAAACUCCUUUCGCAACCGACGAAGCUUUUGUGACGGUAGGUUGAGAAGAAGCACCGGCUAACUACGUGCCAGCAGCCGCGGUAAUACGUAGGGUGCGAGCGUUGUCCGGAAUUACUGGGCGUAAAGAGCUCGUAGGUGGUUUGUCGCGUCGUUUGUGGAAUACCGCAGCUUAACUGCGGGGUUGCAGGCGAUACGGGCAUAACUUGAGUGCUGUAGGGGAGACUGGA